Molecule: ribosomal RNA, 774 nt
Filed under: uncultured Neocallimastigales
Lineage: Eukaryota; Fungi; Neocallimastigomycota; Neocallimastigomycetes; Neocallimastigales
Description: partial large subunit ribosomal RNA
Rfam family: Eukaryotic large subunit ribosomal RNA
Source: RNAcentral
CGCAUCUGUGCAUGCAGCAUAUCAAUAAGCGGAGGAAAAGAAACUAACAAGGAUUCCCUUAGUAACGGCGAGUGAAGCGGGAAGAGCUCAAAUUUGAAAUCUUCAAGGUUUUACCUUGACGAAUUGUAGUUUAAAGAAGUGUUUUCUGUUGAAGUUUUGGUAAAAGUUCUUUGGAAUAGGACAUCAUAGAGGGUGAGAAUCCCGUAUUUGACCAUUAUUUUCAGCUGUGUGAUACACUUUCAAAGAGUCGGAUUGUUUGGGAAUGCAGUCCAAAAUGGGUGGUAAAUUUCAUCUAAAGCUAAAUAUUGGCGAGAGACCGAUAGCGAACAAGUACCGUGAGGGAAAGAUGAAAAGAACUUUGAAAAGAGAGUUAAACAGUACGUGAAAUUGUCAAAAGGGAAGCGUUUGACACCAGUGUUGUUUUCUCGAAAAUCAAUUAAAAAGAGUUUAGAUUUUGUUGUGUAUUGACCUUAACAGCUUGCAUUUCAAUUUUCUUGCUUUUUUUAAUGCACUUUUCGUUUAACAAGUCAACAUCAGUUUCUUUUGUUGUAAAAAGGUCAUUGGAAGGUGGCUUUCUUUUCGGAGAAAGUGUUUAUAGCCUUUGACUCCUGCAAUCGGAGAGACUGAGGUCUGCAGCGUAGAUCCUUCGGGGUUAGAUACAUUUGUGCUAAGUUAUAGCUUUUUAUAGACAACUUGUUGACUAUGAUUAGUCUUGUAGCUUACUCGCUUAUGCUAUUUUACCUACGCUUAGGAUGUUGAUGUGAUACUGCGAGC